CAGCAGCCGCGGGAAUACGAAGGGGGCUAGCGUUGUUCGGAUUUACUGGGCGUAAAGCGCACGUAGGCGGAUCGAUCAGUCAGGGGUGAAAUCCCAGAGCUCAACUCUGGAACUGCCUUUGAUACUGUCGAUCUGGAGUAUGGAAGAGGUGAGUGGAAUUCCGAGUGUAGAGGUGAAAUUCGUAGAUAUUCGGAGGAACACCAGUGGCGAAGGCGGCUCACUGGUCCAUUACUGACGCUGAGGUGCGAAAGCGUGGGGAGCAAACAGGAUUAGAUACCCGCGUAGUCCCUGUCUCUUAUAC
This 301-nucleotide ribosomal RNA is filed under the name uncultured bacterium. RNAcentral describes it as "partial 16S ribosomal RNA". It matches the Rfam family "Bacterial small subunit ribosomal RNA", at positions 509 to 807 of the family's 1533-position model. The record is from RNAcentral.